CACGGGGGGAGCAAGCGUUGUUCGGAAUCACUGGGCGUAAAGGGCGUGUAGGCGGUCAGGUAAGUGAGAUGUGAAAUGCCCCGGCUCACCCGGGGACCGGCAUCUCAUACUGCUUGGCUUGAGUACGGGAGAGGAUGUGGGAAUUCCUGGUGUAGCGGUGAAAUGCGUAGAUAUCAGGAGGAACACCGGUGGCGAAGGCGCACAUCUGGCCCGAUACUAACGCUGAGGCGCGAAAGCUAGGGGAGCAAACGGG
This 253-nucleotide ribosomal RNA is filed under the name uncultured bacterium. RNAcentral describes it as "partial 16S ribosomal RNA". It matches the Rfam family "Bacterial small subunit ribosomal RNA", at positions 524 to 776 of the family's 1533-position model. The record is from RNAcentral.